CUUUGCCCUCAGGAUGUGAG
Molecule: unclassified non-coding RNA, 20 nt
Filed under: Mus musculus (house mouse)
Lineage: Eukaryota; Metazoa; Chordata; Mammalia; Rodentia; Muridae
Description: oocyte_clustered_small_RNA2015
Source: RNAcentral